Molecule: long non-coding RNA, 493 nt
Organism: Haliotis rubra (blacklip abalone)
Lineage: Eukaryota; Metazoa; Mollusca; Gastropoda; Lepetellida; Haliotidae
Exons: 3
Source: RefSeq, a predicted model, not a curated record
AGACCACCCCAGAUAGCAUUCCGACGUUGGCCCAACGUUGGCAAUGGUUGGCAACGUCGCGGUCGGAUUUCAUACGUUGGCCCGACGUUGGCCCAACAUCGGGGAAGCCUCGCGGAUAUUUUAUUAAAGGGACGCUACUCCAAACUGUUAGCUUUUCCCAGAGGGCGCUCACAUUCUUCGAGCAGACGACGCGACAUGAUCACAAGCUUGGACAUCGGAGUACAGGUUUCCUCGAAUAUAUAGCGGUGAUGUUUACAGCUUGUGGCAGCAUAUUCACGUGAAGUACAGAACAUGAAGGAGUGGUGAUUCCAACUGAUGUACCCAUACAAAAGAGGCCAAGGCACAAGCAUAGACCUUGUAUACAGAUGAAGAUCUCCUGUGAUUAUUUCUUUCUCCUCCUCAUCUGAUAACUGAAAAUAUAAGGAUGCCCUGCCACUCAGUCCAAGUCCUGACUUGUAAUUUAAGAAAUAAAUUAAGAUCAUCUCAACCAGAA